Molecule: long non-coding RNA, 3369 nt
Filed under: Sus scrofa (pig)
Lineage: Eukaryota; Metazoa; Chordata; Mammalia; Artiodactyla; Suidae
Description: lncRNA (ENSSSCG00065059821.1)
Source: RNAcentral
GAGAGUUAAGUUUUAUUUGGGACAAAAUGAAGACUUAAGCCUGGAAGGCAGCACCACAAGAAACCACUUCUAGGAGGGGAGGGUGUUAGCUAAGAUAUACAGGAGUUUUGUAACAGAGGGCAGGUAGUCAGAACAAAAGAGUACUGUUAGUCAAAGAAAACUAGAUAUCUCAAGUUCAAAAAUGUAGUGCUUUUCUGUGUAUGGGAGUAUUGCAAGGGGCUGGGCUCACUGAAAUCCUUCCUUUGAGAAGCAUCUCAGCUCUCUGGAGCAAGUACCGUGUGCUUUUCACAUCCUGAGGGCUCACCAUCACGAAUGACUGCAGUCCGAUGGCUGCGAGAUGGCAGGUAUUCUUUGUUCCUUCCUGAGUUCCCUCAGGGCUCACCAGCUCAGAGGUGGCUGCAAUUGCUGAAGACUGUGACAUCUUUAUUUACUGCUAUAGGAGGCAAUAUUGUAUUUCUCACCAGCAAUUUGUGUUGUCAGGAGUUUUUGUUUUAGCAACUCUUAUCAGUGUGCAGUGAUUUAAUUGUUUUUCAAAUUAACAGAAUUUUAAAUGUAUAUUAUAUAAUGAGUGUAAUUAAAACAAAAUACCAGUGCAUAAAAGGAAGAUAUGUAAAAAUAUGCAAGCAAUUGAAGAAGCUAUAAAAAGAACACCAAAAUUAACUUUUUUUAAUUUAGAAAGCAUAGACAAAAUGAGAAUAGUUUGCAACAGCCCCAGAUUUCUCCCUGAAGGGAACAGCAAGCAGGGUAGUGUAAGGGGAAAUCAUAUACAAAUUUAAACAACAGCUUUACACUGGGAACUAUGUCGGGUCACUUAUGAUGAAUUAUGAUAAUGUGAGAAAAAAGAAUUUAUGCAUGUAUGUGUAACUGGGUCACCAUGCCGUACAGUAGAAAAUUGACAGAACACUGUAAACAAGCUAUAAUGGAAAAAAAAUUAAAAUGACUAUAUAUAUAAAAAAAUAAUAAAAUAACAGCUUUAAUUCUCCCUGUUGAAAACAAGGGAAGAGACUUAGCCUCCCCUUCCUUUUCUUAGAGCAUUUUCUUUAGGAAAGUUGCAAAUUUUUUUUCUCUCUCUCUUUAAAAUGAAUGUAAAUCUUUUUAAACUUUAAAUGGACCCCUUGAAUACUGUAAACCAGCUAUAAUGGAAAAAAAGUAAAAAUCAUUAAAAUAAAUAAAUAAGUAAAUAAAUGGACCUCCUGACAGAUUUACGACCCAGGAAUGUCUUUCUUAAGGACCUGGGAGCCAUCCCAUUGAAAUGCAAUCAUCAAGGAAGAUGGUGCCCUAACACCCCCUUUUUGUGGGAAGGUAGAAGCCUUCAGCAGAUUCCUUGGGCUCCUCACUCCAAACUGCAAAAUACCUUCAGCCACAAAGAUAUGAGAAUUUUGUUUUUCCUUUGGAUGAAGCAAAUUAGCAAACACAGAUGGCCACUCUAAUUAUCAGGUGAAUCUAGGAUAAAUUAUGCGUGGCAAAUGGUGCUUUCAGCUCCUCUAACUUCAGGGCUAGUUACUAUUUAUCUUGAGAACAUGUAUAUAGUGGGUUAUAUCUGCUUGGCUGCAUAAAUACCUAAGAUUCCUGUCUUUGCAGUCUCUUAGCAGAUUGCCACAUGCUUCACAUUUUGUUUUAAUGCUUACUCAGUGACAAAUUGUUUUCUUUCUCUUCUACCUUUGUGGAAAGUCUUCUGGGAUGAGAGGAGGUUUUGUUUUUAAUUAUAUAUCCCCCAACAAAAGCAAAUGCCAUGGACUGUGCACGCAGGUCAGAAAGAAGAAUUUUCCAGAUUCAGAGCAAGAUGAAGAAAAGACAAGUUUAUUGAGGCAAGGAACACUGUUAACACAGUGGGCUGACUUCCUGAUAAUGAAAGAGAGCCAAUCCUGGAGAUAAAGAAUAGUUUAAGAUGAGAGAUGUGGGAGUUUUCAUUGUGCUUAGCAGGUUAUGAAAGCAACUAGUAUCUAUGAGGAUGUGGAUUCAAUCCCUGGCCUCACUCAGUGGGUUAAGGAUCUGGCAUUGUCGUGAGCUGUGGUGUAGGUCACAGAUCAACACUGGAUCCUUAACCCACUGUUUUUUAUUACAGGGGGUCUCAGCCAAAAACUGUAAAGGGUAGAGGGAAAAUUCUUUUUCAACCCCAUGGAAUAAUCACAGAUGAGUUGUGUGACCCAGACACAAAGCAAGUUCUGAGGCCAGGGACCAAACCCAGGCCACAACAGUGACAAUGAUAGAUCCUUAAGUGCUAGGUCACCAGGGAGCGCCUAUGAUCAUUUUUAACGACUGCAUAAUGUUCCAUUAUAUUCUUUAGUCUAUUGCAACCAUGUUUGACCAUCCAUUAAGUUGCUUUUGGUUUUCUGCUAUUGCAAACAAUGUUGAGACAAACCUCUCUGUAUAUUUGUUUAAUUAUUUCCAUCAGACAAAAGUCCAAAGAACAGGGUUUCUGAGUCAAAUGGCAGACAUUUAAGACUUCUGAUGCCAAACUAUUCUCCAAAAGCAAAAUUCCCAACAACAGUUCAACAACAUUAAAGAACACUAGCUUCCCCACACCCUCACCAACACUGGCUGGAAGGUAUAGUUUCAAAGAUGAGUGCUGCGUACUGGUGCUCUUUGCCUCUUUCUCCACUGACAGCCUGGAAUACAGGUGCUUGAUAAAUCAAUCCAGGCUACAGUCUAGUAGACGCUCUGAUCCAAUAUGACUGUUCUGGGUAUCAAAGAACUCUCCUUCUGGUUCACUGCCCUGGAUGCUGGCAUCGUGUAGACCCUAUAAAGGCAGUAGCUCCAAGCACAUUACACAGAAGGCCCUCACUCUAUCAAACCACAGGCCAUCUGCUCCCAGGCCAUCCGUUCAGCCAGGAAGCUCCUGCUCCUGGUCUGUAUAGCCCUCGGAUUCCUGGUGACCCCAGGUAAACUGGAUGAGGGAGAAGACAGAUGGGACUGGGGGCCAGGAACACUAAAUCUUUGCUUGGCUGACAGACAAGCCAGGUUGAAAGCAGGCAGGGCUCAUCUCAAUGGGUUCCAACCUAAAGUUGGAAUCUCCCAACAUCCACCACUGGCCUCAAUACCCCAUACCCAGCCACCACCUUCUACCACCCUGUACAAAAACACAGUUCCUGGAGUUCCUGUUGUUGCUGUUGUAGCUCAGCAGGUUAAGAACCCGACUAGUGUCCCUGAGAUGUGGGUUCGAGCCCUGGCCUCGCUCAGCGGGUUAAGGAUCUGUCACUGCUGUGAGCUGCAGCAUAGGUCACAGAUGGGGCUCAGAUUUGGCAUUGCUGUGGCUGUGGCAGAGGACGGCAGCUGCAGCUCCAAUUCAACCCCUAGCCCGGGAACUUCCGCAUGCUGUGGGUACACCCUAAAAAGACCAAAAAAAAAAAAAAAAAAAAAAAAAAAAAA